Molecule: long non-coding RNA, 510 nt
Organism: Panthera leo (lion)
Lineage: Eukaryota; Metazoa; Chordata; Mammalia; Carnivora; Felidae
Source: Ensembl
CUAAAAAGAAGAUAAAUAGGAUAUUAGUGAAAAUAAAUGAUUUCUUCAAAUUCACUCUACUUUGGAAAAACAUUGUUACAAGCAACACUGGACAAGGAGAUUCUGGUUUUGCUAAUGGGCCAAAUUUUUACCAUUUCAGAACUCCAAUUAUCCAGCAGCCAGAGGACCAUUGUAUUUGCCUUGCUGUCAUGUCAAGAUUGUUUAGAGGAUCAAUUGAGAUAACGCUCAAGAAGAUUUAUGACUCAUGAAGUAGUGUCAUAUCAUCACAGUGCUCAUGAUUUGAGCUAUCACUCCUUUCCUGAAGAACUCACAACACACACACUGUGUGCUGCAAUGUUGUCACUCUCUUCUGUGGAGUUGUCUCCUGCUAGUUCGCAGAAUGGCAAAGAUGCUCCGAACAGUCUUCAGCUCUCACAAUUCCUGUCUGUGACAAAUGCUGUGAAUUUCGUACUACUAUUGGCAUAAUUAGGGAGAAGCUAAAUUUUAACCAAGCACCUGGGUAAUAUAAUC